This 273-nucleotide ribosomal RNA is filed under the name uncultured Brevundimonas sp. RNAcentral's name for it is "partial 16S ribosomal RNA". It matches the Rfam family "Bacterial small subunit ribosomal RNA", at positions 524 to 796 of the family's 1533-position model. Lineage: Bacteria; Pseudomonadati; Pseudomonadota; Alphaproteobacteria; Caulobacterales; Caulobacteraceae. The record is from RNAcentral.
UACGAAGGGGGCUAGCGUUGCUCGGAAUUACUGGGCGUAAAGGGAGCGUAGGCGGAUAGUUUAGUCAGAGGUGAAAGCCCAGGGCUCAACCUUGGAAUUGCCUUUGAUACUGGCUAUCUUGAGUAUGGAAGAGGUAUGUGGAACUCCGAGUGUAGAGGUGAAAUUCGUAGAUAUUCGGAAGAACACCAGUGGCGAAGGCGACAUACUGGUCCAUUACUGACGCUGAGGCUCGAAAGCGUGGGGAGCAAACAGGAUUAGAUACCCCCGUAGUCC